Molecule: ribosomal RNA, 499 nt
Filed under: uncultured bacterium
Lineage: Bacteria
Description: partial 16S ribosomal RNA
Rfam family: Bacterial small subunit ribosomal RNA
Source: RNAcentral
GACGAACGCUGGCGGCGUGCCUAAUACAUGCGAGUCGAGCGAAGUUUUUCUGGUGCUUGCACUAGAAAAACUUAGCGGCGAACGGGUGAGUAACACGUAAAGAACCUGCCUCAUAGACUGGGACAAAUAUUGGAAACGAUACCUAAUACCGGAUAACAGUAUUUCUCGCAUGAGAGAGAUUUAUAAGUUGGUUAUGCUAACACUAUGAGAUGGCUUUGUGGUGCAUUAGCUAGUUGGUGGGGUAAAGGCCCACCAAGGCGACGAUGCGUAGCCGAUCUGAGAGGGUGAUCAGCCACACUGGGACUGAGACACGGCCCAGACUCCUACGGGAGGCAGCAGUAGGGAAUCUUGGGCAAUGGGCGAAAGCCUGACGGAGCAACGCCGCGUGAGUGAAGAAGGAUUUCGGUUCGUAAAGCUCUGUUGUUAGGGAAGAAUGGCUAUGGGGUAACUCUACAUGUAAGUGACGGUACCUAACCAGAAAGCACCGGCUAACUACGUG